GUCAGGGUAGCUCAGUGGUAGAGCACCAGUAUCAUAAACUGGUCGUCGAGAGUUCGAUCCUCUCCCCUGACACAA
This 75-nucleotide transfer RNA is filed under the name Candidatus Gottesmanbacteria bacterium RIFCSPLOWO2_01_FULL_43_11b. RNAcentral describes it as "tRNA-Met". It matches the Rfam family "tRNA". From Rfam's summary of the family: Transfer RNA (tRNA) molecules are approximately 80 nucleotides in length. Their secondary structure includes four short double-helical elements and three loops (D, anti-codon, and T loops). Lineage: Bacteria; Candidatus Gottesmaniibacteriota. The record is from RNAcentral.